Molecule: long non-coding RNA, 555 nt
Filed under: Brachypodium distachyon (stiff brome)
Lineage: Eukaryota; Viridiplantae; Streptophyta; Magnoliopsida; Poales; Poaceae
Description: long non-coding RNA (BDIS_LNC004138)
Source: RNAcentral
GUGUUGAGGAGCUCGGGGAUUGGAUUGGGAGCCUCCAAUUGAGUUGUGGGGCUAGCCCCGGUCAAGUUUGUAAGGGUUUGGACUUCGCCCCCAAGGAAACCAGUAGUGGAGCUCACCUCGCCUUUUUGGUGUUGUGAGAGGAGAAUAGAGUGAGCCUUUGUGGCGCCUCUACCUUUGUGGUAGAGAACUCCUCCAAACGGAGAAGUACACCUACCCCAAUCGGUGGAACUCCGGUGAAAUCUUCGUCUCUCGUGUGGUAUCGCUUUUCACCCUUUACAUUCUUGCAAUCUUAAUUGUGAUAUUGUUGCUUCGGCUAUUGCACUUCAUACUAGAGUUGAAUUCACUUUAGAGAAUUUAGUAAGCCCUAGGAUUAAGUGUUAAUUUGUAUCUUUUAAGAAAAAAAAAAGAGAACAUAAAAUUUGUUAGCCGCCUAUUCACCCCCCUCUAGUCGACCAUACCGAUCUUUCAAUUGGUAUCAGAGCCUCGUCUCUUAAUUAGGGCUUUAUCGCUCUUAAGAGUAUGGUUGACGAACAUAGGAACCCCUCACCCGUAGGA